UACGUAGGGUGCAAGCGUUAAUCGGAAUUACUGGGCGUAAAGCGUGCGCAGGCGGUUGUGCAAGACAGAUGUGAAAUCCCCGGGCUUAACCUGGGAACUGCAUUUGUGACUGCACGGCUAGAGUGUGUCAGAGGGGGGUAGAAUUCCACGUGUAGCGGUGAAAUGCGUAGAUAUGUGGAGGAAUACCGAUGGCGAAGGCAGCCCCCUGGGAUAACACUGACGCUCAUGCACGAAAGCGUGGGGAGCAAACAGGAUGAGAAACCCCCGUAGUCC
This 273-nucleotide ribosomal RNA is filed under the name uncultured bacterium. Its description in RNAcentral is "partial 16S ribosomal RNA". It matches the Rfam family "Bacterial small subunit ribosomal RNA", at positions 524 to 796 of the family's 1533-position model. The record is from RNAcentral.